Long non-coding RNA from Neofelis nebulosa (Clouded leopard), 3074 nucleotides. RefSeq lists it as uncharacterized. The transcript is spliced from 2 exons. The record is from RefSeq and is a predicted model, not a curated record. NCBI's taxonomy places the organism in Eukaryota, Metazoa, Chordata, Mammalia, Carnivora, Felidae.
AGGAUUUUUAUCCUUUUUAUUGUCUCGUUGUUUCCUUAGGCACAAAAUGAAAUUGGGUGCUCUCAGACUACCUUUGGACUAUCUCCUGCCCAAAUAAGAAAUGGCAAACCCUAGACAAACAGGAAACCAAGUGUCAAAGAGAUACAAACUGAUUUUCCUUGAGGACCUACUAUGUUCCAACAGUGCGCAUAAGUCACUGAUCUCCAUACUGCUACAGGCUUUUCAUACAUUUAUCCCAAAGUCUCACAAAAAUACAGUGAGGUAGGUGUUACUUUCCCCCAUUAUUAUAGUAGACAAAAUUUAAACUUACCCCAGUAGACUGAUCUCUUCCAAGAUCAUACAGUAAGUGAGGGAGUCAGGAUUUGAAUCCAGGGUCUGUGCCCUUAACCAGCACUCUUCUGCCUUCUAAAUAUUUGUUAAAUGAACUCCAAAUAUUUUGUUAAUGUGAAGUGAUUGUUAGUCAUAACACAACCUCAGUAUAUGAAUCACAAAGAAAGAAUAUAUGUUAUAUUCAGAACUUCCAUCUGUGAGUGAGUCACAAAUCUACAUCCCUUUCCCUUACUGCUAGAGAUCCUUUUCUUUUCCUUUUUUCUUUUCCCUUUUUUUUUUUUUUAACUAUGGUUUGGUUUUUCUCCAGUCAGCAGGUUUUCCAAUGAUAUCUGUUAAUUGAGGGUGUGGUGAGGUUAGGAGACAGCUAAUGAAAUUUUAUUCCAUUUUACUUUGGUCAUCCUAAGAUGAAUACACGUAGCAUAGCCCCCUCACCCCCGCCGUUAGCUAUUCCGCUGUGAAAAGUAGACCAGCCAUCAUUUACACGUCCAUUCAAUAAAAUGACCAAAAUUGGAAAAAAAUUUAAGAUACGGCAUAUAGUUUUCUUUUCCAUCAGCAUUCAGAUGUCUUCUCUUGUUAUUCAACUGCCUAGAAAAUUUAGAGAAAUAUACAUAACAUACAGAAAUCUGGAUGUUCAUCCCAGCAGGCAGCAACUAACUUAGAAGACAGUCUGCCCUUGAAUGGAUAAGAAGAGUGUCUUGACUUACGUCCACGUGUCCAUUAAGGCCCAGCAGCAGUUACUUCUCAUUUCUACAUUUACAAUUUCCCUUCAGGCAUUUUAUCCAAGUGGGUUUUUUUUCUUUAUCUCUUUUUUUUUUGGGUGGGGGGGGGGAGGGGAGAGUGGGAUUUCCCAGUGAGAGACCACAGCAUUCUGAGGAGAUGAAUACACCUAGAAAUCUGGUGUAUUUGUGUAAUCUGAAAUCUGGGCUCCCAAAUAUUUAGUACACUACUUAGAUCCCUAAGCUGUUAUGUUUUCAAGGAUUUUUGCAAAAAGGAUUUUGCAAAUUAAAGGAAAGACCGCAUUCACCCAAACUUUAGAUGGUUACUAUAGUUAACAUCUGAGCUGUGUCCCGAGAUCAACGCUACAGUGAUGAAGUCCAGAUGUUAAAACUUACCAAUGUUUUUGUUACUUCUGAGCAUUUGCUGCCUUUGUUGGUUUUUUUUUUUUCAGACUCUAACUUCUUAAUACAUGAAGGUAUUAGAGAAGAAGGGGAAAUGAAAUUAGCAUAUGGCAUGAACCCAGAGUAACUGAACUCCUCCUCUUUCGAAGCACACUUUCAGGCCCUCACAGGAUAUGCAGCCUGUGGGAAGGCAGGCUCCAGGGCCUGCUCAUCAGAUAAAGAUAUUUCCAUUCAGUUGCUAUUUUCAAUGAAAAUAGGCUAUGUGAGGGGCGCCUGGGUGGCUCGGUUGGUUAAGCGUCUGACUUCGGUUCAGGUCAUGAUCAUGGUUCCAGCCCAGCAUCAGGCUAUGUGCUGACAGCUCAGAGCCUAGAGCCUGUUUCGGAGUCGGUCUGUCUGUCUGUCUGUCUGUCUCUCUCUCUCUCUGCCCCUACCCCUGCUCAUGCCCUGUCUCUUUCUCUCUUGUAAGUAAAUAAACAAACAUUACAAAAAUUUUUAAAUAGGCUAUGUGAUUGAUUAAAUCUUUUCAGAUUUAAUACUGUGCACUAAAGAAACAGGAAGAGGAUUUAAAUCGAUAAUAAAUAUUCCAAAAUUGUUACAGUUGUCUUUUCAUCUUAUUUUAGUUGUAUGUAUGCACAGAAAUCUGUAUCUAUACAUAUAUAAACACACACACACUGUAUAUAUUGUCCUAGAGGGGAGGAAACCACCACUCGUUCAGGAGCAACCACAUUGCAGCAGAGACGUGUUACAGUGAGCAUCCGAGGACAGGUUGAAAAAAGCAUUGUUAGUCCCUGACAUCCAUGUGAAGAAGUUAAGAAAAUCCCCAAUAACAAUUUCUUCCUUCGGGGCAUCUGGUGGCUCAGUCGGUUGAACGACCAACUUUGGCCCAGGUCAUGAUCUCACGGUUUGUGAGUUCAAGCCCCGCAUCGGUCUCUGUGCUGACAGCUCAGAGCCUGGAGCCUGCUUUGGAUUCUGUGUCUCCCUCCCUCUCUGCCCCUCCCCUGCUUGUGCUCUGUCUCUCUCUGCCUCAGAAAUAAUAAACAUUAAAAAAAAUUUUUUUUUAAUAUUUCUUCCUUCAAAACCCACUUUAGUUUUGUAUCCCUUAAUUUAUCUAAAAUAUUUGCAUGACCAUCCCAAUGUUUAUAGCAGCACUAUCAACAAUAGCCAAAGUAUGGAAAGAGCCCAAAUGUCCAUCGGUGGAUGAAUGGAUAAAGAAGAUGUGGUAUACAUAUACAAUGGAGUAUUACUCGGCUAUCAAAACGAAUGAAAUCUUGCCAUUUGCAACUACGUGGAUGGAACUGCAGGGUAUUAUGCUAAGCAGAUUUAGAGAAAGACAAAUAUCAUACAACUUCACUUAUAUGAGGACUUUAAGACACAGAACAAAUGAACAUAAGGGAAGGGAAGCAAAAAUAAUAUAAAACCAGGACUUAUUUACAGAAAAUGGAAGUCUGGGGGUACAUGGAUGCCUCAGUUAGUUAAGCCUCUGACUACGGCUCAAGUCAUGAUCUCACAGUUCCUGAGCCCCGCAUCCAGUUCUGUGAUGACAGCUCAGAGCCUGCAGCCUGCUUUGGAUUCUGUAUCUUCCUCUCUCUCUGCCCCUCCCCCACUCUCUGUCUCUGUCUCUCUCUC